Molecule: transfer RNA, 76 nt
Filed under: Lutibacter sp.
Lineage: Bacteria; Pseudomonadati; Bacteroidota; Flavobacteriia; Flavobacteriales; Flavobacteriaceae
Description: tRNA-Lys
Rfam family: tRNA
About the family: Transfer RNA (tRNA) molecules are approximately 80 nucleotides in length. Their secondary structure includes four short double-helical elements and three loops (D, anti-codon, and T loops).
Source: RNAcentral
GGGCGCAUAGCUCAGUAGGUAGAGCAACUGCCUUUUAAGCAGAAGGUCGGGGGUUCGAUUCCCUCUGCGCCCACCA